GAUGAACGCUGGCGGCGUGCCUAAUACAUGCAAGUCGAGCGAACGGACGAGAAGCUUGCUUCUCUGAUGUUAGCGGCGGACGGGUGAGUAACACGUGGAUAACCUACCUUUAAGACUUGGAUAACUUCUGGAAUCCGGAGCUAAUACCGGAUAAUAUUUUGAACCGCAUUGUUCAAAAGUGUAAGACGGUCUUGCUGUCUCUUAUUGAUGUAUCCGCGCUGCAUUAGCUAGUUGGUAAGGUAACGGCUUACCAAGGCAACGAUGCAUAGCCGACCUGAGAGGGUGAUCGGCAACACUGGAACUGAGACAGGGACCAGACGCCUACGGGAGGCAGCAGUAGGGAAUCUUCCGCAAUGGGCGAAAGCCUGACGGAGCAACGCCGCGUGAGUGAUGAAGGUCUACGGAUCGUAAAACUCUGUUAUUAGGGAAGAACAUAUGUGUAAGUAACUGUGCACAUCUUGACGGUACCUAAUCAGAAAGCCACGGCUAACUACGUG
Molecule: ribosomal RNA, 497 nt
Filed under: uncultured bacterium
Lineage: Bacteria
Description: partial 16S ribosomal RNA
Rfam family: Bacterial small subunit ribosomal RNA
Source: RNAcentral